UGGUGGAGUGAUUUGUCUGGUUAAUUCCGUUAACGAACGAGACCUCGACCUGCUAAAUAGUUCAACAAAGGUUUUACCUUUGGUAUGUGACUUCUUAGAGGGACUAUCGGUGUGUAGCCGACGGAAGUUCGAGGCAAUAACA
This 142-nucleotide ribosomal RNA is filed under the name uncultured eukaryote. Its description in RNAcentral is "partial 18S ribosomal RNA". It matches the Rfam family "Eukaryotic small subunit ribosomal RNA", at positions 1299 to 1458 of the family's 1831-position model. The record is from RNAcentral.